Molecule: ribosomal RNA, 771 nt
Filed under: Enterococcus faecium
Lineage: Bacteria; Bacillati; Bacillota; Bacilli; Lactobacillales; Enterococcaceae
Description: partial 23S ribosomal RNA
Rfam family: Bacterial large subunit ribosomal RNA
Source: RNAcentral
AUUGUGUGAAUACAUAGCACAUUCGAGGUAGACGCAGAGAACUGAAACAUCUAAGUACCUGCAGGAAGAGAAAGAAAAUUCGAUUCCCUGAGUAGCGGCGAGCGAAACGGGAAAAGCCCAAACCAGCAAGCUUGCUUGUUGGGGUUGUAGGACUCCAAUAUGGUAGUUCUUUCAGAUAGUCGAAUGACUUGGAAAAGUCAGUCAAAGAGGGUAAAAACCCCGUAGACGAAAUGUGGAAGACACCUAGGAGGAUCCUGAGUACGGCGGAACACGAGAAAUUCCGUCGGAAUCCGGGAGGACCAUCUCCCAAGGCUAAAUACUCCCUAGUGACCGAUAGUGAACCAGUACCGUGAGGGAAAGGUGAAAAGCACCCCGGAAGGGGAGUGAAAUAGAACCUGAAACCGUGUGCCUACAACAAGUCAAAGCCCGUUAAUGGGUGAUGGCGUGCCUUUUGUAGAAUGAACCGGCGAGUUACGAUUGCAUGCGAGGUUAAGUUGAAGAGACGGAGCCGCAGCGAAAGCGAGUCUGAAUAGGGCGUUUGAGUAUGUAGUCGUAGACCCGAAACCAUGUGAUCUACCCAUGUCCAGGUUGAAGGUGCGGUAAAACGCACUGGAGGACCGAACCCACGUACGUUGAAAAGUGCGGGGAUGAGGUGUGGGUAGCGGAGAAAUUCCAAACGAACUUGGAGAUAGCUGGUUCUCUCCGAAAUAGCUUUAGGGCUAGCCUCGGAAUUGAGAAUGAUGGAGGUAGAGCACUGUUUGGACUAGGGGC